GCUUCUGGUCCAGUGGCUAUAGUUCAGAAGAUGACAGGUUCGUGGGUCUCAAAGGGAAGGACUUACUACAGAUACUCAACAACUGUGAUCAACAAAUCACCAAGAGCUCUGAAAAGUCUUAACCUUUCAAUCAAGAAUCUCUACGGACCAAUCUGGGGACUCUCUAGAUCAGGAAACUCAUUCGGUUUACCUUCCUGGAUGCACUCAUUGCAAUCCGGAAAGUCCCUAGAGUUCGUCUACAUUCACUCUACAACUCCCGCCAAUGUCGCGGUUUCAGGCUACACGUUGGCUUGACCAGACAACAACAACUUCAAAAGGAAUCACAGUGUGUAUAGGUCGUGAGAAGAAGAAGAAAGCGUUGGUUUUUUCGUCUGGUUCGUCAAGAAAGUUAAAAGGUUUGGUCUUUUUAUUUUUAUUUUGCAUUUUUCGUGUUCCUCUGGCGAAUAUGAAAGGGUUGAAGAAGGGUGGAAGAAAGGUGUGAAGAGAGUGAAUGACUCUUCAGAAAAUUUAGAAGAAGAGUGAAAGUGCUCAUCCUCUUUCUACUUCAAGUUCAAUGCUUUUUUAAAUUUAUAUAUAUAUAUAGUGAGAGAGAGGAAGAUAGAAAAAAAAAAGAUAGUGUCUUGUGAGAAUUUGCAGGGAUUGUUUUUUUCAUUCCUUGUAGCUCAAAACAUGUGCAUGCCUUUGUCCUUUUGUGUGUGUUUAUCUUUCUUGGUGGUCAGUUGUAAAACUCAACAACAGUCCUUAAUGGAAUGUGAUAUGGUUAUUAACUUGUGUUAAGUACUUGUCGUCCAUAGACAAACUGAAGUUUAGCCAUAUUAAUUAAUGAUAAAGCCAAAAAUAAAACCUUCCCCAGAUUGUUUAUUUUUCUACACAAUGUGAUGAAUCUUGGUAGAUUUUACAUUUUAGUUUAUACAGAUAAUUUUAUUACAAUAUAAAACCCCGAAGCUUCAUCAUGCUUAAAGAUAAUUGUAAAAUUUUCAUAAUGUAGCCUGAAUGUGUUGUUGUUGAUGUAAACAAAAUAAAAUUGAAUGAGACUAUUAAUUGACCUGAUAGUAAUUGAGAUGCCGAGGCCUUUGCUUCUUAUAAGAAGAUGUGACAAGCCAUUUACAAGAAAGAAAAAAAGAAGGUGUGAUGAGAUCUCUUUCCAUGUCGAAUGAUACUGCGUCCAAGUGAACACCUCUUAUCAGCUCAAAUCCCUCCAGCUACAAAUAAAAAUGAAAAACCCCAUUGUGUAGUAAAAAAAAUUGCCGUAAGACUCCAAUAUAUUUUGCUAUUUUUUUUAAUAAAAAAAUUAUAUAAUAGAAAUAAAUAUAUGUUCCAAUGUAUUUUUUUAAGAUAGCAAUCUCCAAUAUAUAGUAAAAUAUAGAGAACUGUUAUUUUUAUUUUUAUAAAUGCAAUACAUGUUUCUAACACUUGCAAUACAUGUUUCUCACACCCUAUUUAUGAGUCAAUUUGAAAAAUUCGAAAUAGUUAAGUUUAUGGUCAAAUAUCAUGGUUAAUAUCUUGUUUCCUAUUUUUGUUUCACUUGCAUAUAAUACUUUCCAAAAAUUGAAAUUUAGAAAGGAACAAUCAGGAAUUUUUAUGAUUGAAUUAUAGCGAAAAUAUAUUCAUUUCACUGAAAUAAAACGAGCCUAAACCUCAUAUCUUGUGACUGUAUAUAUGAUACUAAGCUAAAAACUUAGGCAUCACAACGAACAAUAUGUGUUAAAUUUCUUAGUUAAAUAGCUUGAUCUGUUGUCGUUAGUUUAAUUAUAUUUGUUUAACCCAGAUAGUCCAGUUCAUCUGAAAGUCCGUGUUGAUUGCUUUUCAUUGAUCUGUAUAUCAAACGUUACAUUAUUGUAACAUGUAUUAUUUGUUACUAUGACUUUUUAUUUUUUAAAUAUUUACUAAUUUUUAACUUUUUUUAAUCUAUUCACUCCAUGCAAGGCAUAUAUCACCGCCUAGUAUAUAGUAAAAUAUAGAAAAUGCUAUUUUUUUUUCUAUUAAUGCAAAAAUAUGUACAUUGGUUACAUGUUUCUAACACUUUAUUUUUACUUCACAUCAUGAUCUCUCUUACACAUCAUCUUUUUUUCACAUCAUAAUUUAACACCCACUCAAUUUUUAUUCUCAAGAAUGAUUUGGUUUAAAAAAAAUUACAACACCGUACCCCACUAAUUUUAUUUAUAUUUUUAUAUUAUUUUAUGUCUUUUUUGUGAUUAUAAAAAUUAUAAUUUCAAAUUAAAUCAAAUAAUUAAGAACUAAAUAAAUUUAUAACAUAAUUGAUCUUUUUCGUUUUUAUUUUAUAUAUUAAUAUUUUUUUAAAAAAAAUAGCAGGAGCUAAUAGCAAAAAUAUAGUAAAAAAGAUGAGUUUGUUUAUGUGUCCAAAUGAAAUUAAACAAAUCUCUAUUUAUAAAGUAUGAAAAUAAUGAAUGUUGAUAUAAAACUUUUAUAUAUAAUUAUAAUUAUAUUAAAUAAUUGAUAUUAAAUAAUGGAGAUGGAAAAAAUUAAAAAAUAAGAGUAUCCAAUCAGUUUUUUACAUUUGUUUUCAUCCACCUAUUAACGUUGCAAUUAAAAUUUGAGAAACAAACUUAAUAUUUUGCUCUAAUCAACAUUUGCCACGUCAUACAAGAAAAUAUAUUUUAUCAACGCUGUUGAUAAGUUUCAACACUAAAUUUGCCACAUCAUGUAUUUUACUUUUACAAUAAACUAUUGUAAAUUUAUCAACAAUUGUUAAUAUUUAUCAAGAGUUGAUAAAUCUUCUAUUGUAAGUAGUCUAAAAAAAUAUAGCAAUCUAUAUUUUAAAAGAAUAAAUAAAGUAGGGCUGGAACCGUUUUAAGCCCUAAAUAUUAUUAUAAAUGUAAAUAUAGUGGUGAUCUGAAGAUACUAUGAGAAAAAAACAACAAGAACUAAGAAGACUCAUGAACAAAUUAUAACUUUUUUUUGUCUUUGGCUACUCUACUGAAUUCUUCAAGGAUAACUCAAAAUUAUUUCAAUUUGUAUUCUCUCUAUUUCAUUACUAUUAAAAUUUAGAUUUUAUAUAAAAACAAAAAAACACGAUUAAUUUUAUUUAUUUAUUUAUGACAUUUUCUGAACGGAAUCGUAAGUUUCCAACGUGUUUUUAAAUACGAUAUUUUGGAAGCGAGAUUCUGCAAGCUUCCACAAAGUUUCGAUUCUGAUUUCGGUUCCGAAUCGGGAAGCAGACGUCCGAUGAAGUUUCCUUGCUUUUUAACGAAUAUCUCAUUGAUUUUUUCUAUGUUUUUUUUUUCAGUUCAGGAAACAUAAUAUAUAAGAAAAAGAAAACUCUAAAAUUCUUAUAUAAGUAUAUCAAUUAUGUUUGAUUGACUUAUGGAGAUAUAAAAAUAUACAAAAUAUUUUACUAUAACAUAAAAAUGUAUAUGUGUUCAUUAGCAGGAACGAGUAACAAGCGAAAAACACCAAAUACUUAUUUUUAUUUAAUAUUUGAUAGUUGUUUUAUAUUUGCAAAUAAUUUAAAUAUAUUACUUAAUUAGUACCAGUCAAUGUAAAUACCCGACUAUAUGGAUCAGCUACAUACCAAAUAGGGAAUUCGAGACAAGUUACAAGUAAUCAUGCCCACUCCUACAAGUAGGCUACUACUAUCACUAAAUCUUGGACAAUAGUAUAUGCUACUUUCAUUUCACAUGAAAAUAGAGGAUUCAGUUUAGGCCUAUAAAUUACAUUAUAGCCCAUUUUUGUUAAUUUAUUUCUCUCGAGUUUACUAUGCAGUUUACACGUAUGACAUCAGGCUAUUUAUUUAUUAGAUCAUGGCCUGAAAGUCAUACCUAAAAUCUUGAACUUGUCUCCCUACAUCUCAUUAAUUUUCGGUGUGGUCUAUGAGAUAUAUACAAUAGUAUAUUUGUUAUCUAGUGAAAGCUUGAAAGAACAUCCAAAUAUUAAAUUUACUAGAAACAAUAUAUCAGGGAGAUGGGCAUCAUAAAUUUCAACUUGUACAUAGUAAAACACUUAAAAUUCAAUUUUAUUUUCUUUUAAUGUUCAGUGAUUCUGCAUGUAAAUUUCGGAGGAUAUAUUAGUGUUCACAUUUGGUCCAAGCAUGUGAUCGGAUUUUCACAUUGGCGAAAAAGUCAUAAAAAAAGUCUUUGGGUUUGAAUUAUAUUCAUUCUUGCUCUUUAAACACUUUUGGGUUAAAAUUAAAACAAAAGAAUUAAACCUAUAUUACAAGCUGCGUCUCAAAAGUCUUUGCAUAGUGUCCGUGACACUGUCGGGCAACAGGUUCCGAACGGUUGAUAUUGACGUUAACCUAACGGUUGUCUUUUUGUGACGGUUGUCUUUGUUUGUGUGAAUUAUUCAAUAAAAAAUUGUCUAAAGUUUCAUAUUUAUUUGUCAUUCUAUGACCCAGUUGAUUGAUCAACAUGUCGAUACGUUAAAUGCAGUGUUUAUUUGGAUUUUUAUAUCUAACAUUAAUAGACUUAUAAUUGAAAGAAACAAAUAUGUUGUAUCCUUACGAUAUAAAUAACUGAGUUUUUAAAAUGUACGUGUUCUUGAUUAUAUAUUUUAAGUUUUGAAUUCUUUAAUAUGUCAUUGCCGCUAAGAGUAAUAAUGAGAGUUGUUGGGAAAUUUUUAAAGGCUUUUUAAAGACAAAUCAGUAAGAAGAUUUGAUGGUAUUAAAUUAUUUGACCCCCUAUAUAUAACAGGUGUUUUCACACUCAAGGCAAUCACUUAUUGUCAAAGAAAAAGAGAAAUAAGUCCGUUUGUUUAUGACCUUGAGAUUUGUCUCUUUUUUUUAUUUGGUAAUAAUGGGGAACUGCAUGGAGAGGUGGAUGCAAGGAGAAGGAGAAGAAGGAGAGAUAGAGGCAAGAGCAAAGGCAAAAGAGUCAUUCAAACUUGAUGGUGAUGAUGAUGACCAAGAUGGAGGUCAAGGUGGAACGAAGGUGAAGAUAGUGCUUACAAGACAUGAAUUGGAUAUGUUUUUGCUUCAGAUGAAUAGGAAUCAUGAAGGAAACUUGAUGAUGACAAAGGAUGUUAUGGUAGAGCUAGAGAAGAGGAUCAUAAAACCAACACCAUCUUUAUCAUCAUCACCAACAUCGAUGGCGUGGGAACCAUCUUUAGAGAGCAUCAUCGAGUGCCCCGAAGCUCAAGAGAUGGAUAGAUGAGGACGCUAUGAUGAUCUAAAUUGCAUUGUGUUAAAUCACGGUGAUCGGAAAUUAUAUAAUUAACAUUUUUGCAUCACUCUAUGUUUUUAGAUAGAUAAUUUUUGUUAGACUAGACUCGAGGUCGAUAUCGUACCAUAUAUAAUAAGAUCUUUAAUCUAUCAAGAAAUAUAAAAUUAAUGUGGUUACUUUUAUUAUACGUUAUAUACAAUAGGUUUGGACAAUUAACGAAUAUCGGGGGUGUAGCUCAUAUGGUAGAGCGCUCGCUUCGCAUGCGAGAGGCACGGGGUUCGAUUCCCCGCACCUCCAACUUUUUAAUCGGUUAAUUAAUUUUUGGUUUAACAAAAGCUCGACCGUCGGAUUCUUCUUUAUUGCCUUUAUCGAAAAAUCAACGGCGUAGAAUCAAACGAAGAAACAGAUAGAGAUACAAAAUAAAAAAAAAUCAUAUGAGACCGUUGGUCUCUCUCCUUCCCUCUUUCUCAGCCUCUCGUUCCUCAUCUAACUGUAGAAGAGCACCGCCGAUGCUCCUCCGCCGGUGACUUUCUCUUCCCUUUAAUUCCCGAUUAAAACAAUGAGCAGUCAGUUAGUUUCUUCCGUAUUCUCCGGAAUACAUCGCAUACCUAACCGUCACGAGACUCAUUCUCUCCUUCGCUCAAUUCUCUUCAUCCACGGGAACAAACCGGCCUGUAUUGAUCGUCGACGACCGAUUCUGCAUUCUUCCUGUGGAUAUCGGAACAGAUACAGAGUCGGCGCCGCGGCUGAUGUUUCGGAAACGCCUUCGUCGUCUCUUCUCGACGACGAGCUUAUGAGCAGUGUAUCCGCCGUUAGGGAUGCGGACGAAGCGCUCGAGAUGAUUAGCAAUCGGUUCGGACCAAAUCGCGGCGGAGUAGUUGAAAUCGAAGAUUGCCGCUCGAUAAUCUCGGCUGCUGUGAGCCGCGGCAAUGUCGAGCUUGCGUUGUCGAUUUUCUACGCCAUGCGAGCGAGUUUCGAUUUAGGUAAGGAGUUUCUGUGAUUUAUUGAGUAAGCAAGUUUAUGAAUGGUUGUGUGUGUGUUUGGUAGGUGGGAGUGAAGUUGAUCGAUGGAGAUGGUCAAGGCCUGAUGUAGAGGUCUACACGAUGUUGGUCAAUGGACUUGCUGCUUCCUUGAGGGUUUCUGAUUCUCUAAAGAUCAUUAGAGAUAUUUGCCGCGUUGGAAUCUCCCCUGCUGAGGAGGUAACGUACUCUAGUUUCUGCAAUAGUUAUGAUUCGAUUAGGUAGGGGUUAAUGGAUUAUGUUUUUAAGCAUGAUAUAAUCGAAUAUACAUUGGUAUUGAUAUAGGUUCCCUUUGGUAAAGUUGUGAGAUGUCCAAGCUGUUUGAUUGCCAUUGCUGUUGCACAACCCCAGCAUGGAGUUCAGGUGAUCAUUGAUCUCUAUCUGAUCUAUUCCUCAGUGUUUAACCUAUCUUUUUAAGAAUAAUAAUAAUAAUACGCGUUUUUCUCUGAUUAUGUUUCUAGAUUGUCUCCUGUGCUAAAUGCCGAUACCAAUACGAGCUUUUCUCUGGUGACAUUACCAGCAUAGAAUCAGAAGAGCUCGGGUUAGUUCUCUUUCAAUACGUUUUCUGUUUUCUGUUACAUAGCUCUAGGGCUUGUUUUGGUUAUAGAGAGCGGGUUGUGACUUGUGACCGGAAAAAAGAUUGAAAUGUGUGUGGUGUUAUAUCUGUUGAACAGAGAGUUGACUGUGUGUUGAUUAAUUGUGCAGCUUCUGGUCCAGUGGCUAUAGUUCAGAAGAUGACAGGUUCAUGGGUCUCAAAGGGAAGGACUUACUACAGAUACUCAACAACUGUAACAAACAAAUCACCAAGAGCUCUGAAAAGUCUUAACCUGUCAAUCAAGAAUCUCUACGGACCAAUCUGGGGACUCUCUAGAUCAGGAAACUCAUUCGGUUUACCUUCCUGGAUGCACUCAUUGCAAUCCGGAAAGUCCCUAGAGUUCGUCUACAUUCACUCUACAACUCCCGCCAAUGUCGCGGUUUCAGGCUACACGUUGGCUUGACCAGACAACAACAACUUCAAAAGGAAUCACAGUGUGUAUAGGUCGUGAGAAGAAGAAGAAAGCGUUGGUUUUUUCGUCUGGUUCGUCAAGAAAGUUAAAAGGUUUGGUCUUUUUAUUUUUAUUUUGCAUUUUUCGUGUUCCUCUGGCGAAUAUGAAAGGGUUGAAGAAGGGUGGAAGAAAGGUGUGAAGAGAGUGAAUGACUCUUCAGAAAAUUUAGAAGAAGAGUGAAAGUGCUCAUCCUCUUUCUACUUCAAGUUCAAUGCUUUUUUAAAUUUAUAUAUAUAUAUAGUGAGAGAGAGGAAGAUAGAAAAAAAAAAGAUAGUGUCUUGUGAGAAUUUGCAGGGAUUGUUUUUUUCAUUCCUUGUAGCUCAAAACAUGUGCAUGCCUUUGUCCUUUUGUGUGUGUUUAUCUUUCUUGGUGGUCAGUUGUAAAACUCAACAACAGUCCUUAAUGGAAUGUGAUAUGGUUAUUAACUUGUGUUAAGUACUUGUCGUCCAUAGACAAACUGAAGUUUAGCCAUAUUAAUUAAUGAUAAAGCCAAAAAUAAAACCUUCCCCAGAUUGUUUAUUUUUCUACACAAUGUGAUGAAUCUUGGUAGAUUUUACAUUUUAGUUUAUACAGAUAAUUUUAUUACAAUAUAAAACCCCGAAGCUUCAUCAUGCUUAAAGAUAAUUGUAAAAUUUUCA
This 7820-nucleotide long non-coding RNA is filed under the name Brassica napus (rape). RNAcentral describes it as "long non-coding RNA (BNAP_LNC007496)". The stretch from base 5342 to 5414 matches the Rfam family "tRNA". Lineage: Eukaryota; Viridiplantae; Streptophyta; Magnoliopsida; Brassicales; Brassicaceae. The record is from RNAcentral.